CCAGACUCCUACGGGAGGCAGCAGUGGGGAAUAUUGCACAAUGGGGGAAACCCUGAUGCAGCGACGCCGCGUGAAGGACGAAGUAUUUCGGUACGUAGACUUCUAUCAGCAGGGAAGAAAAUGACGGUACCUGACCAAGAAGCCCCGGCUAACUACGUGCCAGCAGCCGCGGUAAUACGUAGGGGGCAAGCGUUAUCCGGAUUUACUGGGUGUAAAGGGAGCGUAGACGGCGAAGAAAGUCUGAAGUGAAAGCCCGCGGCUCAACCGCGGAAUGGCUUUGGAAACUUUUUUGCUGGAGUACCGGAGAGGUAAGCGGAAUUCCUAGUGUAGCGGUGAAAUGCGUAGAUAUUAGGAGGAACACCAGUGGCGAAGGCGGCUUACUGGACUGUAACUGACACUGAGGCACGAAAGCGUGGGGAGCAAACAGGAUUAGAUACCCCUGUA
This 444-nucleotide ribosomal RNA is filed under the name uncultured bacterium. Its description in RNAcentral is "bacterial SSU rRNA". It matches the Rfam family "Bacterial small subunit ribosomal RNA", at positions 331 to 792 of the family's 1533-position model. The record is from RNAcentral.